RNAcentral lists this ribosomal RNA (468 nucleotides) under uncultured bacterium. Its description in RNAcentral is "partial 16S ribosomal RNA". It matches the Rfam family "Bacterial small subunit ribosomal RNA", at positions 28 to 507 of the family's 1533-position model. The record is from RNAcentral.
GACGAACGCUGGCGGCGUGCUUAACACAUGCAAGUCGAACGGAAAGGCCCUGCUUUUGUGGGGUGCUCGAGUGGCGAACGGGUGAGUAACACGUGAGUAACCUGCCCUUGACUUUGGGAUAACUUCAGGAAACUGGGGCUAAUACCGGAUAGGAGCUCCUGCUGCAUGGUGGGGGUUGGAAAGUUUCGGCGGUUGGGGAUGGACUCGCGGCUUAUCAGCUUGUUGGUGGGGUAGUGGCUUACCAAGGCUUUGACGGGUAGCCGGCCUGAGAGGGUGACCGCCCACAUUGGGACUGAGAUACGGCCCAGACUCCUACGGGAGGCAGCAGUGGGGAAUAUUGCACAAUUGGCGGAAGCCUGAUGCAGCAACGCCGCGUGCGGGAUGACGGCCUUCGGGUUGUAAACCGCUUUCGCCUGUGACGAAGCGUGAGUGACGGUAAUGGGUAAAGAAGCACCGGCUAACUACGUG